RNAcentral lists this long non-coding RNA (379 nucleotides) under Mustela putorius furo (domestic ferret). RNAcentral's name for it is "lncRNA (ENSMPUG00000025442.1)". Lineage: Eukaryota; Metazoa; Chordata; Mammalia; Carnivora; Mustelidae. The record is from RNAcentral.
AGUUUUUUGGCCAAGAGCCUAGAUGCCUUGUGUUUCCAAUAUAAUAUUUUACUGAACUUAACAUAUGCUAGAAGUUCAGUCAAGUGGGGGGGAAAACAAACAAACAAACCAGAAGCUUUUUUUUUUUUUUCCAGGUGAAAUCCUAUACCCCAAAUCACAGCCUUUUGCCAGUUGGCCAAUGUCACAGCAAAUUCAGUGCCUUGGCCAAGUGCUUGGCACUUCUAAGUGUCUGAGAGUGGCAGGUCCCUGGGAAGAACUGGUGCUUCUAUCUAAGAAAAACAGUCACGGCUGGGACAACUACAGGAGAAAAGUAAGGCAUAUAUGGAGGAUGAUAAAGAUGCCAGCCCAGAACAUGUACCACUAUUUCCAACAUCCUUAG